AGAACGAACGCUGGCGGCAUGCCUAACACAUGCAAGUCGAACGCUCUUGGGGCUUCGGUUCCAAGGGAGUGGCGCACGGGUGAGUAGCGCGUGGGAACCUGCCCUGGAGUGGGGGAUAACCGAGGGAAACUUCGGCUAAUACCGCAUGCGCCCGGGAAACCGGGGAAGAUUUAUCGCUCUAGGAGGGGCCCGCGUCGGAUUAGCUAGUUGGUGGGGUAACGGCCUACCAAGGCUUUGAUCCGUAGCUGGUCUGAGAGGAUGAUCAGCCACACUGGGACUGAGACACGGCCCAGACUCCUACGGGAGGCAGCAGUGGGGAAUAUUGGACAAUGGGCGCAAGCCUGAUCCAGCAAUGCCGCGUGAGUGAUGAAGGCCUUCGGGUUGUAAAGCUCUUUCGCACGCGAGGAUGAUGACGCUAGCGUGAGAAGAAGCCCCGGCUAACUUCGUGCCAGCAGCCGC
RNAcentral lists this ribosomal RNA (459 nucleotides) under uncultured bacterium. Its description in RNAcentral is "SSU rRNA". It matches the Rfam family "Bacterial small subunit ribosomal RNA", at positions 26 to 518 of the family's 1533-position model. The record is from RNAcentral.